This 291-nucleotide unclassified non-coding RNA is filed under the name uncultured fungus. Its description in RNAcentral is "partial contains 5.8S rRNA, ITS2 and 28S rRNA". It matches the Rfam family "Eukaryotic large subunit ribosomal RNA", at positions 668 to 961 of the family's 3401-position model. The record is from RNAcentral. Lineage: Eukaryota; Fungi.
AAGGAGUCUACCAUCUAUGCGAGUGUUUGGGUGUCAAGCCCGUGCGCGUAAUGAAAGUGAACGUAGGUGUGAACCUUUCGGGGUGCACCAUCGACCGAUCCUGAUGUCUUCGGAUGGAUUUGAGUAGGAGCAUAGCUGUUGGGACCCGAAAGAUGGUGAACUAUGCUUGAAUAGGGUGAAGCCAGAGGAAACUCUGGUGGAGGCUCGCAGCGGUUCUGACGUGCAAAUCGAUCGUCAAAUUUGGGCAUAGGGGCGAAAGACUAAUCGAACUAUCUAGUAGCUGGUUCCUGC